GGAAGUAUAGGGUAGAGUAAUAAAAAACUGCAACAUAUAGUGUGAUGAAAAUAUAGCAUUUUAGAAAUAGCAUCAUUAUCAAAAACCUGCUGCACCUUACAACUGCGAAACUCUGCCUUUUCAGAUUUACUUCAAGGCAAAUGAUGUUUACAACGAGCAGUGGUAGAAUGCUUGGAUCAUCCCAGCCUUCUGGCAAAUCUUAUCUUUC
This 208-nucleotide long non-coding RNA is filed under the name Gossypium barbadense (sea-island cotton). Its description in RNAcentral is "long non-coding RNA (GBAR_LNC013408)". Lineage: Eukaryota; Viridiplantae; Streptophyta; Magnoliopsida; Malvales; Malvaceae. The record is from RNAcentral.